Anas platyrhynchos (mallard) is the source of this 2589-nucleotide non-coding RNA. The record is from RefSeq and is a predicted model, not a curated record. Lineage: Eukaryota; Metazoa; Chordata; Aves; Anseriformes; Anatidae.
CCAGUUUAGAUAAGAUUUUGGCGUGGAUAAGGAGGAGGAACCUGUACCCUCUGAAGCAGAUAAGCCACUUUCCCAAUGUAAAGAAAGAGAAUACAGCAUUAAAGCUUUCUUGCUGUCUACUCCAGAUUUAUCAACAGCUUCUUCACAAAAGUCUCAGGACUAAAAGCUUGUGAAGUUUUGUAAAAUACUACUGGAAAAUAGCACUUGAAAGGUAACAAGAGGAAAGGCAGGGCUUGCAAAGCACCUGGCCCUGGCCAAAAUCCACUCAAGGUCACCCGAAUUACUGCUGGGGGCCAAGGGGGGGCUGUCCGGUUGCUCCAGGUAUAUGAGGAUGAGCCCGGGUUUUGGAAGGGAUGCUGCUCACCGAAUGAGCAGCUGGGUGUCUCUUCUUGUCCCUGCGCACACUGCACAGUCUAUAUUUAUUACACAAUUUUCACCCUUCAGUGGCUCGGAUGUUUUGCCUGCAUUUUGUUGCUGACCCUCGGGCCAAUCCUCAAAACAAUAUUUGCUCAGGGUUUUGUGUGUGCGUGUAGCUUUUAAAAAAAUAAAUAAAUUCCAGACAGGUGGAAACUUCCCUUCUUGAUUUCUACCAGCACUCCCCUUUAUCAUCUCAAGCUAAUGGGAUGCUCCUGCUUUAGACCACUGCACCGGGGCUGGAUUCAGCCCCACAGAAUCCGCCUGCUUAUGCCGAUAAGCUCCUCCACCAUCCCUCUGCCUGGCCGUGCCUCCCCACCCCGCCUGGCGCCUGAUUAUAUUGGGUCUGCAUGUGUAAGUACAGCCUCCUGCCAUCCUAAUCAUCUAAAGUGGCUAUUUGAAUAACAGUUGUUGGUGCCUGUAGUUUCCUGUAAUUUCCAAAAGGAAACAAAUCCAUGCAGACUGCAAUUUUGUGCCUAUGAAUUUUGAAUGAACGUCUCGGAGAGCCUUGUGCAGGGACUUGAUUUCUCUCCCCCUUCCUGCCUCUGCCUCUUGGACCCAGCCCGCUGAGUCCAGGGGCUCGGUGGAGUGGCUCCUUGUAGGGCCAGGUGUGGGGCCAGUGAUGCUUGAUGUGGGAAAGAAGCAUGGAACAAAACAGCCUGAGCUGGAAGGGACCCGCAGGCACCAUCAAGCCCAACUCCUGGCUCCACAAAUGAUGAUGAGAUGCUGGUGCUCAUCCAGCAAUGCAAGGACGGUGGCAGGAUUGUGCCCGGCACCCUCGUGCUCAGCAGGACCAACAGGGCACAGAGGCAGGAGCAUCCCUCAAACCUCAGGAAUUAUCCCAGGUGCUACCUCCAACCUAAGCCUGGGAGGUCGCCCUGCACCCAUAGCCUGGUGGCAUCUGCCCUGCUGGAGAUGCCACUGCCAGCCUGGCUGUCACUGGGGCAGGCUCUUCGGCCUCCAGACCUGAGCAGCUAUCAGACAUUUCUCCUCCAGAGCUGAUUUUCACGACAGCGACAAUCCCUAUUUAUAACCUUCUCCCUUCCGCCUUCCCCUCCUGUUCUGCUGUGUGCAACUUUAUGACAGCGAGGGUUCUCCUUUUUAUGACAUUGUUGUUUUUAAAGUGUUUUUAUCACCUGAUUUUAUUACAAAAUUACCGUACAGCACCCCAAGUACCACAGCAGUGGGAAGGGAGAGCAGCGCUGGAGACGCAGCAACCCUCUCCUGAACAGCUUGCUGCCUCGCUGGGAAGUGCCUGUGAUUUGGUGAUGGAUGGAGUGCUUGUUAUCCAGUAUAUUUUUAUCCAUAGAUAUAUAAAGCACUUUGUGAUCCCAGUGGAUACAAGGAACUAUAUAAAUGUAAAUCAUUAUCAUUAUCAUUAAAUACCUUCUGCAUCUUUUAAACCUACCAGUUGGAAUCAAACACGUAUGGGGCAGCUGGUGUCUGAGCUUUAGCCGCUGAACCAAAUGCAGGAGGGGUGAUUUUUUUCCUUUGUUAGCAAUUAAAUGUGAUAUCAUAAAAGACUUUAUUUUCCCUUUGCAAUUUUUCAUGCUGCCUCUUGAUUUGAAAGUCACUUCUCGCCCACUAUGAGAAAUCUGUGCAGGCUCCCCUAGCAACAACCUGAAUAAGAAGCAGCUGCCUCGGCUCCGCUGAUGCUCCCGCGUUACUGGGACCCAGCGCCAGCUGCAUCCUGCAGCAUCACCGGGGGGUGAGGGCCAUGAGAGCAUCCUCCCCGUGAGGCUGGGCCUCAGUGAGCAGUGCAUGAUUGCUGUGUGAUUUAUGACUGGAAGGAGAACAGAGACUCUCGUGUCCAAAAGUAUGACUCGGCAGCAUUUCUGCUUGGCUGCUGCCCAGCCCCAGAAAUAACUGACCGCACGAAACCGCCUUCUCUUGGAUGCCAUCCAUGUUGCAGCCGAUCCAAGCCUGAAGGACUUGCUCAAGGUCGCACGUGGAGGCCUUGGCAGCACAGAAGUGAACUCGUGUGCUUCUAUCUGGGCUAUAAAUCAUUGGAUUCCCUUUCUGCCCACACCACCAGGACAACACACAGGGUUUUCCUACAAGUGCUGAGCCCGUAUUUUGUCACCAAGCCUAUUGUCCUUCCUGCAUGUCCAGCCCAGCUACCUGUGUGCCUGGUCAUUGGCUCCUGGCAGCUGCUGCUUCCCAUGCCCACCUCAA